Molecule: ribosomal RNA, 490 nt
Filed under: uncultured bacterium
Lineage: Bacteria
Description: partial 16S ribosomal RNA
Rfam family: Bacterial small subunit ribosomal RNA
Source: RNAcentral
AUUGAACGCUGGCGGCAGGCCUAACACAUGCAAGUCGAACGGUAACAGGAAGCAGCUUGCUGCUUCGCUGACGAGUGGCGGACGGGUGAGUAAUGUCUGUGACACUGCCUGAUGGAGGGGGAUAACUACUGGAAACGGUAGCUAAUACCGCAUAACGUCGCAAGACCAAAGAGGGGGACCUUAGGGCCUCUUGCCAUCGGAUGUGCCCAGAUGGGAUUAGCUAGUAGGUGGGGUAACGGCUCACCUAGGCGACGAUCCCUAGCUGGUCUGAGAGGAUGACCAGCCACACUGGAACUGAGACACGGUCCAGACUCCUACGGGAGGCAGCAGUGGGGAAUAUUGCACAAUGGGCGCAAGCCUGAUGCAGCCAUGCCGCGUGUAUGAAGAAGGCCUUCGGGUUGUAAAGUACUUUCAGCGGGGAGGAAGGGAGUAAAGUUAAUACCUUGGCUCAUUGACGUUACCCGCAGAAGAAGCACCGGCUAACUCCGUG